GAGAUGUUUCUACGCUAUUAUUUGAGCUUUUAUAGUUGAAAGAAAUGCAGUAUGGCAUUUUCCCAGUUCUGUAAGCAUUCUGCCAGCUGGCCAAUAGAAGCAGUCAAUUUUCUGUUGAGUAUUCAGAAUGAUGAAAGACAAGAUUCUGUGAAACCAAGCCAACUCAAGAUAGACAGCAAUAAUAUUCAGCCAGCCAUGUAGUCUUAAAAGAGAAAUAAACCAUUCUGACCGUGGUUGAGGAAUUGGGAUAAAUUAAUUUCAUUGUUCUGUGAACUCGACUAAAUUAUAAACAAUGUCAAAAAUAUCUUACCUUUUAGUUUGUUGUUAAUCCUUUCAAGGGAUUCCAUAAGUCGUUGUUCUUCGAGAGAUAUUAUUGUUGGACCUAUAAC
Octopus sinensis (East Asian common octopus) is the source of this 389-nucleotide long non-coding RNA. RefSeq lists it as uncharacterized. The transcript is spliced from 2 exons. The record is from RefSeq and is a predicted model, not a curated record. NCBI's taxonomy places the organism in Eukaryota, Metazoa, Mollusca, Cephalopoda, Octopoda, Octopodidae.